Molecule: ribosomal RNA, 589 nt
Filed under: uncultured Bacillus sp.
Lineage: Bacteria; Bacillati; Bacillota; Bacilli; Caryophanales; Bacillaceae
Description: bacterial SSU rRNA
Rfam family: Bacterial small subunit ribosomal RNA
Source: RNAcentral
ACUCCUACGGGAGGCAGCAGUAGGGAAUCUUCCGCAAUGGACGAAAGUCUGACGGAGCAACGCCGCGUGAGUGAUGAAGGCUUUCGGGUCGUAAAACUCUGUUGUUAGGGAAGAACAAGUACGAGAGUAACUGCUCGUACCUUGACGGUACCUAACCAGAAAGCCACGGCUAACUACGUGCCAGCAGCCGCGGUAAUACGUAGGUGGCAAGCGUUAUCCGGAAUUAUUGGGCGUAAAGCGCGCGCAGGCGGUUUCUUAAGUCUGAUGUGAAAGCCCACGGCUCAACCGUGGAGGGUCAUUGGAAACUGGGGAACUUGAGUGCAGAAGAGAAAAGCGGAAUUCCACGUGUAGCGGUGAAAUGCGUAGAGAUGUGGAGGAACACCAGUGGCGAAGGCGGCUUUUUGGUCUGUAACUGACGCUGAGGCGCGAAAGCGUGGGGAGCAAACAGGAUUAGAUACCCUGGUAGUCCACGCCGUAAACGAUGAGUGCUAAGUGUUAGAGGGUUUCCGCCCUUUAGUGCUGCAGCUAACGCAUUAAGCACUCCGCCUGGGGAGUACGGUCGCAAGACUGAAACUCAAAGGAAUUGACG